AGUGAACGCUGGCGGUAGGCCUAACACAUGCAAGUCGAACGGCAGCACAGUAAGAGCUUGCUCUUACGGGUGGCGAGUGGCGGACGGGUGAGGAAUACAUCGGAAUCUACUUUUUCGUGGGGGAUAACGUAGGGAAACUUACGCUCAUACCGCAUACGACCUUCGGGUGAAAGCAUGGGAUCUUCGGACCUUGCGCGAUUGAAUGAGCCGAUGUCGGACUAGCUAGUUGGCGGGUUACAGGCCCACCAAGGCGACGAUCCGUAGCUGGUCUGAGAGGAUGAUCAGCGACACUGGAACUGAGACACGGUCCAGACUCCUACGGGAGGCAGCAGUGGGGAAUAUUGGACAAUGGGCGCAAGCCUGAUCCAGCCAUACCGCGUGGGUGAAGAAGGCCUUCGGGUUGUGAGGCCCUUUUGUUGGGAAAGAAAAGCAGCAGGUUAAUACCCCGCUGUUCUGACGGUACCCAAAGAAUAAGCACCGGCUAACUUCGUG
This 492-nucleotide ribosomal RNA is filed under the name uncultured bacterium. RNAcentral's name for it is "partial 16S ribosomal RNA". It matches the Rfam family "Bacterial small subunit ribosomal RNA", at positions 29 to 507 of the family's 1533-position model. The record is from RNAcentral.